GAAGAAGACGCACAUUAAGUUGACAGAUGUACCGGCAGCCUACAAGUCAAAAAUGUGGAUAUGUUUCGGCAUUUUCCAGUACUGAUGAUGGAACAAAGCUGAACGGUACAAGAACGGUUUCACUAAAUUUACCGCCAGCUUGAACCAGAACCAGCUAAGACCACCGCAUCACACAUAGUAACAUACAACUUCCUAUCGUAUGUUACCAUGCGUGAUUGCAGGCUAAACUAGGUGAAAGGACAUCCGACCAGAAGUACCUCGGACUUGCUCCUGCACCCGUGUAGACGAGUCCCCACCGCCGUUCAUCAUGCAUUCAGGCAGGGCAAUAAAAGAGAUCAUUCAUUGGACAUGAAAGCUGAUGAUUAGUAAAGACAGCUAGAGUGGGGACAACAAAGGUGGAGGAAAUCCAAAGAAGAUAGAGCCUCAGAGGAAAAAAAGGCCGCUGUGGUAAGGUAGUUUAUCCUCUAUUACCCAGCCUGUGUUGUUAAAUGUUAAACAUACAUGACAUAACCAUUCACACCAAACCGUAUGGCAAAGUGUUUACAUUUCUAAAUAUUCUGAACAAUCAAAUAAUCUGCAUCUUUUUGUGCUUCGAUGUAAAUGAUACACUGCAGAGGGUUCUAACGUUCCCUGUUGUCACGAUCUCUUUCCUUCAUCACUUCUAUAGGUCACGGAGGUUGCCAAUAAGAACAUAUUUUCAGACAUCCGUGACACACUUGUUUUAAAACCUCUUCACCUGACAUUUCAAAAGGUUAUGCUCCACAAAGGGUAAGAUAAUUAUAUAAUCUUCAAGAUGAUCAUUCUCAAAAGUAUGAUGUUGUAUCAUAAUGUAUCAUGACACCGCUACUCCCCGUAUAUUUGAGGUCAUGUGGUCGAAAACGAUUUAUACGUACAUGGCUAAAUAUAAUAUAAUACAGUAAACCUCGGAUAUAUCGGAUUCAAUUGUUCCCACUGGUUUUGUCCGAUAUAAGCGAAAUCCGUUAUAUGCGUAUACCGGAAAAUGUCCGUUUUACGCAUAUAUCGGAUUUAUAUCCGGUAUAUGCGUAAAUCGGAUUUUAUCCGUUAUAAAAAGGCACUUCCUUGACUAUGUUUCCAAUGUACCUGGACGCGCAGGCAACGCUGCAAACGCUGCAAAUGACGUCGUACGUAUAGCGGCCUGUCACGAUUCGGCGAAUCAGAGCGCCACGAUGCGGCCAUCCGAUAUAUGCGAGGGAAAUUUAAUGGAAAUGCAUUGGAACGGGACUGGAGAUUUUGUCCGAAAUAGGCGAAAUCCGUUAUAAAAAAUCCGAUAUAUGCAAUGAAUUUUUAUUGGAAAUGCAUUACAGAAAAAUCGUUUCUUUUUUAUCUGUCCGUUGUGAGCGAAUUUCCGAUAUAUCCGAGUCCGAUAUAUCCGAGGUUUACUGUAUAAUAUAUCACUAGAAACAAAUAUGUCCCUGUCUCCAAAUAAACUCUGGAUUCUUGCUAAAUAUAGCUGUUGGUAUUUUCUUUCUUACCGAUAUCCGACAAAUUGUCCAAUACUUCAUUACUGACAUCAACCGCAGCAGCUCCUCCCUCAAAUUAAUGCCAGGUUACAUCUUGUGUAACGGAGGAACACAUGAUGCUUCUUUUACUUUGAUGCCAUUGCAUGCAAUUCACAAAUAAAAAACGAUAAUCUGCAGCAAAAAGAUGUAAUUUUCAUGCCAAUAUCAUCCACAUUAAAAUUAACCAAACAGCAGCAAUUAAGUUUUCACAUUGUUCUAUGUGUCCAUUAUGUAUUGGCUGGUGAUCGCUCCAGUGUGUACUAUGCCGCUCCCCCUCACUCAGCUGAUAUAGGCACCAUCUUGCAUGCAAGAUCUAGUUUUCUUAUGGCUGGCAUAUACGUACCUGUGUAUGAUUUAUGACUGAGUUUGGUGUGAGUGAUAGAAGGAAGGUGAGGGGAAACUAGUGCUUAGCUCUCUACAGAAUAACACACCCACACACUGAAUUAUGGUAAAUAACUGUAAAGUGCAAGUAGGUGUUUAGAAGAGUGACAGGAUUCAUUUUUCACCAUGUAUAUUCGCAUGUAUUCAUACAGUAUACACUCAGAGAAGUGAUGCAAUGGCACUGAAGAAAAUCUAAGCUUUUAGGGGAAAAAUUAUGAGUGGAAAGGAAGGUUUUAGUAAUUGUU
This is a non-coding RNA of Doryrhamphus excisus (bluestripe pipefish), 2146 nucleotides long. NCBI's taxonomy places the organism in Eukaryota, Metazoa, Chordata, Actinopteri, Syngnathiformes, Syngnathidae. The record is from RefSeq and is a predicted model, not a curated record.